GAGAGAGAGAGAGAGAGAAUGUUCUUUCCCUUUGUACAUGAUAAAAAAAUUUUCACCUUGAGAUUUAGACAGAAAAAUUAUCAAAAUGUUAAGGUCAAAAGGUCUUAUGUGUCUUUCUAACACAAUUGCCAGAGCAAGAUUUAUUAGUAGUAGAACAAGAAUAUCAACAAAAUUGCCCUCUAAUCAAAUCAAAAUUACCUUUAUUAUUUUGGGAGUGUUCACUUUGCUUACCACCAAUAAUAUUUCCUUUUAUGAGUUCCUUUCCAAAAUUGAAUAAGCUUUUUUAAUUGAAUUCAUGCAAGGAUUGUUUUUAAACAUUUUUUAUAAUUUCAUGUGUUUCUUAAACCAUUAUACAUUUGUGUACAAGAAGAAUAGAAUUAAAAUUAAAAAAAGAAAAGACUAAAACAAGUUACAUCAUUGGCUCUUAUAACUAAAAAUGCAGGUUCUUUUAAAAAUUAUACCAUAGUUAGAAAUAUGGCAUGUGCCCCUCCAAAUUUGACUACAAUUGACACAAAUUUCAAAGGUUGAGCAUAUAAUUGCAAAAAUUAAAAGUAUCAGUUAUAAUUGCAAAUUUAAACAGAGGUUUGGAUUUUUGUUUCUUUCAGCAUUAAGCAUUAAAAACAACUGAUAUGGUGAAACCACCCUUCUUGUACAAUUGAAAUAAAAUUGAAGUACUUAGGGUGACAAAAUUACACUUAUUUUGAAUUUCCCCUGAGGAAAACCAAAUGCUAAAUGUUUGAGAUCAUUAUUGUGAAGUUUAAUUUUUACAUCCUAUCAGGACUGUGACGGGAAGAUUAAUCUUCUUUUAUUUAGUUCAUCCAAUUGCCAAAAGAUAUGUAUCAUUAAUAGGAUAGUUCCAUAAGGAUUAAUUAAUUCUAUUUAUCUGGUGUAAAAAGGAACACAACAAAAGAAAAU
Molecule: unclassified non-coding RNA, 915 nt
Filed under: Hevea brasiliensis (rubber tree)
Lineage: Eukaryota; Viridiplantae; Streptophyta; Magnoliopsida; Malpighiales; Euphorbiaceae
Source: RNAcentral